RNAcentral lists this non-coding RNA (30 nucleotides) under Mus musculus (house mouse). The record is from RNAcentral. Lineage: Eukaryota; Metazoa; Chordata; Mammalia; Rodentia; Muridae.
UCCAGAGAUUUUUAAUGGCUGGUGGGCCCU